RNAcentral lists this transfer RNA (74 nucleotides) under Kineococcus rhizosphaerae. RNAcentral describes it as "tRNA-Leu". It matches the Rfam family "tRNA". Rfam says of the family: Transfer RNA (tRNA) molecules are approximately 80 nucleotides in length. Their secondary structure includes four short double-helical elements and three loops (D, anti-codon, and T loops). Further hydrogen bonds mediate the characteristic L-shaped molecular structure. tRNAs have two regions of fundamental functional importance: the anti-codon, which is responsible for specific mRNA codon recognition, and the 3' end, to which the tRNAs corresponding amino acid is attached (by aminoacyl-tRNA synthetases). tRNAs cope with the degeneracy of the genetic code in two manners: having more than one tRNA (with a specific anti-codon) for a particular amino acid; and 'wobble' base-pairing, i.e. permitting non-standard base-pairing at the 3rd anti-codon position. The record is from RNAcentral. RNAcentral also lists the same sequence under 2 other names. Lineage: Bacteria; Bacillati; Actinomycetota; Actinomycetes; Kineosporiales; Kineosporiaceae.
GCCCUGGUAGCCCAACCGGCAGAGGCAUGCGACUCAAACUCGCACCAGUGUGGGUUCGAAUCCCACCCAGGGCA